This is a long non-coding RNA of Bombus impatiens (common eastern bumble bee), 434 nucleotides long. RefSeq lists it as uncharacterized. The transcript has 3 exons. The record is from RefSeq and is a predicted model, not a curated record. NCBI's taxonomy places the organism in Eukaryota, Metazoa, Arthropoda, Insecta, Hymenoptera, Apidae.
GUCUAUUAAAUAUCGCUGUUCGGAAUUUUGAGUGACCGUCCGUUUAUGGCACGAACAGGCCCAUUCCCUUCUUUAGGAAAUUCCGAAUUAUAUGUUCUCCCCGAGCUGUAAACCUAAUGACUCCGAGGUCAGGUAUAAAACCCCGGGAAAGGACUAGUCGGAAGGGCACGAGAGGCAAGCGAAAUCCAACGUUGGUUGGUAGAGAGAAUCAGCAACGUAGGAGGACAAUUCAUCAUCAGACAUCGUACCGGUGAGAUACUUCACUCCCAACAAGAUCUUACCACCGUCGUGCAUAACAUCACACUUUACGUUAUACAAUAAGUGCAGAUACAAUGCUGGAUUACUUCAACACUCGAUCUAUUAAACCUCCUCCACCUUGAGCGUUAAGUCAUUCGAGAUACGCGAUAUCGACCGAUCGCUUGUAAAUGUACACG